Molecule: regulatory RNA element, 37 nt
Rfam family: Ribosomal protein L19 leader
About the family: This family is a putative r-protein leader autoregulatory structure found in B. subtilis and other low-GC Gram-positive bacteria. It is located in the 5' untranslated regions of mRNAs encoding ribosomal protein L19 (rplS).
Source: Rfam
ACGAUAUUCCGCUGCUGUUUACCGGUAAGAAUAUCUG